AACUUUCAACAACGGAUCUCUUGGCUCUGGGCAUCGAUGAAGAACGCAGCGAAAUGCGAUAAGUAAUGUGAAUUGCAGAAUUUAGUGAAUCAUCGAAUCUUUGAACGCACAUUGCGCCCCUGGGUACUCCUAGGGGCAUGCCUGUUCGAGCGUC
This 154-nucleotide ribosomal RNA is filed under the name Phyllactinia taurica. RNAcentral describes it as "Leveillula taurica 5.8 rRNA". It matches the Rfam family "5.8S ribosomal RNA". Rfam says of the family: 5.8S ribosomal RNA (5.8S rRNA) is a component of the large subunit of the eukaryotic ribosome. It is transcribed by RNA polymerase I as part of the 45S precursor that also contains 18S and 28S rRNA. Functionally, it is thought that 5.8S rRNA may be involved in ribosome translocation. The record is from RNAcentral. Lineage: Eukaryota; Fungi; Ascomycota; Leotiomycetes; Helotiales; Erysiphaceae.